GGGGACUUUGGGCCCCAGGGUAACAGCUUGACCUCUGGAGGCACUGGAGACAAAGAUCAGCCACGUGGCAGUCAACCAUGUCUAUCUGACCAAGUUCCAAUGAAAACUCUGGACACCAAGGCUUGGGUGAGCUUCCGCAGUUGUACAUGUAUUGAUUGAUACACUUGGAGAUAUUUCUCAAAAGACUCCUCUGCGGGAGAGGAGAAUAGCUGUACUCUAAGCAGUUCGCAGGGAGCAUCUUUCAGCAGCUGAAACAGCUUUGCGGCCUUGCUGUAAUGAAGAUCUGCCAGCACCCGGUGUUGUUUCCUAAGGUGUUCAUCACCAACCUAGAACCAAACCAAAACAAGCAACAAAUCCUUCACGAGACCGUCCAGGCUGGACUUGAACUCCUUCCUCGGCUGAAGUGAUCCUCCUGCCUCAGCGUCCUGAAUAGGAAGUGGAGCCAGAAUCCACAGAUGUCAUUAUCCAUCUGCACACUUUGUUUACUACCCAGAAGGCAAGAAUAUUGCAUUUUAAAAGUGCCCGGACUUUUGUUCUUUCUUAUCACAAAUGACUUGGGAAGCUCCGACCACUCAUGUUUACCCCGAGUGAAAGUCCCAUUCAAAGCCUUGCUUCCUGGAGAGCUUUGAGAUUCUGGUACAAAAGGCAUUUUAUAAGCACAAAGUGGAAAAGCAUCAUUCAUAUUCAUUUGCUGCUGCGGCAUUUCUCCCUGGAAUCUUCCUCUUGUCUGUCAACAUUGGGCAAAAGGACUGGCCUCAUCUACAUUACAGAUAUCCUUGUGAUGGUCUGGAGGGACCUGUGGGAGAGGCGGCCAUCCAGAGGGCUCUCUGAGGGGUCAUUUAGAAUGCAACUCUUCUGGGCAGAGGAUGGUCUGCACUGGCCUCCACCACGCAGGAAGGCUUCCAGAGUGGAGAAAUGUCCACUAACAUGGCUUCUGUGAGGUAUCAUUCUGAUCAUUGUUGUUACAGGAGAGAUGAGAGGAAGUUAGAGGGGCUAGAAGAACCAGGAGACCUGUUGAAAAUCAUGAAUACAAAGAGAGGUCGUUUGCUUCUGUGCUUCAAUUCUAUAAUAAAAUGAGUACAAUGUCA
Molecule: long non-coding RNA, 1088 nt
Filed under: Homo sapiens (human)
Lineage: Eukaryota; Metazoa; Chordata; Mammalia; Primates; Hominidae
Description: PREDICTED lncRNA (TCONS_00034158)
Source: RNAcentral